Molecule: ribosomal RNA, 259 nt
Filed under: uncultured bacterium
Lineage: Bacteria
Description: partial small subunit ribosomal RNA
Rfam family: Bacterial small subunit ribosomal RNA
Source: RNAcentral
AGAAUCAACGCUGGCGGCGUGCCUAACACAUGCAAGUCGAACGGGAAAGUGGAGCAAUCCAUGAGUAUAGUGGCGACCGGGUGAGUAACACGUGACUAACCUACCCUUGAGUGGGGGAUAACCUCGGGAAACCGGGCUAAUACCGCAUAACAUCUUCGGGAUGAGGAGCUGAAGAUCAAAGGAGCAAGUUCGCUUUCGGAGGGGGUCGUCGGCUGAUUAGCUAGUUGGCGGGUAACGCCCACCAAGGCUUUGAUCGGUA